AACGAACGCUGGCGGCAGGCCUAACACAUGCAAGUCGAACGGUAACGGGGACUUCGGUCUGCCGACGAGUGGCGAACGGGUGAGUAAUAUAUCGGAACGUGCCCAGUAAUGGGGGAUAGCUCGGCGAAAGCCGGAUUAAUACCGCAUACGCCCUGAGGGGGAAAGUGGGGGAUCUUCGGACCUCACGUUAUUGGAGCGGCCGAUAUCAGAUUAGCUAGUUGGUGGGGUAAAGGCCUACCAAGGCGACGAUCUGUAGCUGGUCUGAGAGGAUGAUCAGCCACACUGGGACUGAGACACGGCCCAGACUCCUACGGGAGGCAGCAGU
Molecule: ribosomal RNA, 325 nt
Filed under: uncultured bacterium
Lineage: Bacteria
Description: bacterial SSU rRNA
Rfam family: Bacterial small subunit ribosomal RNA
Source: RNAcentral